CUACGGGGGGCAGCAGUAGGGAAUUUUCGGCAAUGGGCGCAAGCCUGACCGAGCAACGCCGCGUGAGUGAUUAAGGCCUUCGGGUUGUAAAGCUCUGUUGUAAAGGAAGAACGAUCAGUAUAGGAAAUGAUACUGACGUGACGGUACUUUACCAGAAAGCCACGGCUAACUACGUGCCAGCAGCCGCGGUAAUACGUAGGUGGCAAGCGUUAUCCGGAAUUAUUGGGCGUAAAGGGAGCGUAGGCGGUUUAUUAAGUCUAUGGUGAAAGUGCGGGGCUCAACCCCGUAUGGCCAUAGAAACUGAUAGACUAGAGUGCAGAAGAGGGUAGUGGAAUUCCAUGUGUAGCGGUAAAAUGCGUAGAUAUAUGGAGGAACACCGGUGGCGAAGGCGGCUACCUGGUCUGUUACUGACGCUGAGGCUCGAAGCGUGGGGAGCAAAUAGGAUUAGAUACCCUCGUAGUC
RNAcentral lists this ribosomal RNA (462 nucleotides) under uncultured bacterium. Its description in RNAcentral is "partial 16S ribosomal RNA". It matches the Rfam family "Bacterial small subunit ribosomal RNA", at positions 339 to 795 of the family's 1533-position model. The record is from RNAcentral.